This 494-nucleotide ribosomal RNA is filed under the name uncultured bacterium. RNAcentral's name for it is "partial 16S ribosomal RNA". It matches the Rfam family "Bacterial small subunit ribosomal RNA", at positions 29 to 523 of the family's 1533-position model. The record is from RNAcentral.
AAUGAACGCUGGCGGCGUGCCUAACACAUGCAAGUCGAACGAGAAAGCCCGCAAGGGUGAGUACAGUGGCGCACGGGUGAGUAAUACAUAGGAAUCUGCCUCUGAGUGAAGAAUACCCUAGAGAAAUUUAGGUUAAUACUGCAUAAGCCCAGAAAUGGGGAAAGGUGGCCUCAAGCUACCGCUGAGAGAUGAGCCUAUGGCCUAUUAGCUAGUUGGUAGGGUAAAAGCCUACCAAGGCGAGGAUGGGUAGCCGGCCUGAGAGGGUGUACGGCCACACUGGGACUGAGGCACGGCCCAGACUCCUACGGGAGGCAGCAGUAGGGAAUCUUGCGCAAUGGACGAAAGUCUGACGGAGCAACGCCGCGUGAGUGAUGAAGGUUUUCGGAUCGUAAAACUCUGUUGUCAGGGAAGAACAAGUGCCGGAGUAACUGCCGGCGCCUUGACGGUACCUGACCAGAAAGCCACGGCUAACUACGUGCCAGCCGCCGCCGUAA